AUUGAACGCUGGCGGCAGGCCUAACACAUGCAAGUCGAACGAGUGGCGGACGGGUGAGUAAUGGCUGGGAAACUGCCUGGUGGAGGGGGAUAACUACUGGAAACGGUAGCUAAUACCGCAUACAAUCAGAUGUGACCAGAUGGGAUUAGCUGGUUGGUGGGGUACCGGCGCACCAGUGCGACGAUACCUAGCUGGUCUGAGAGGAUGACCAGCAACACUGGAAUGGAGAAACGGGCCAGAUUCCUACGGGCGGAAGCAGUUGGGAAUCUUGCACAAUGGGCGACAGCCUGAUGCAGCCAUGCCGCGUGGAUGACGAAAGCCUUCGGGUGGUAAAGUACUUUAAGCGGGGAGGCGUUACCCGCAGAAGAAGCACCGGCUAACUCCGUGCCAGCAGCCGCGGUAAUAC
RNAcentral lists this ribosomal RNA (406 nucleotides) under uncultured bacterium. RNAcentral's name for it is "partial 16S ribosomal RNA". It matches the Rfam family "Bacterial small subunit ribosomal RNA", at positions 29 to 526 of the family's 1533-position model. The record is from RNAcentral.